This 253-nucleotide ribosomal RNA is filed under the name uncultured bacterium. RNAcentral's name for it is "partial 16S ribosomal RNA". It matches the Rfam family "Bacterial small subunit ribosomal RNA", at positions 524 to 776 of the family's 1533-position model. The record is from RNAcentral.
UACGUAGGGUGCGAGCGUUGUCCGGAAUUACUGGGCGUAAAGAGCGCGCAGGCGGUCGUUCAAGUCGCGUGUGAAAGCCCCCGGCUCAACUGGGGAGGGUCACGCGAUACUGAUCGACUCGAAGGCAGGAGAGGGAAGUGGAAUUCCCGGUGUAGUGGUGAAAUGCGUAGAUAUCGGGAGGAACACCAGUGGCGAAGGCGACUUCCUGGCCUGUUCUUGACGCUGAGGCGCGAAAGCUAGGGGAGCAAACGGG